Molecule: small RNA, 521 nt
Filed under: Pongo abelii (Sumatran orangutan)
Lineage: Eukaryota; Metazoa; Chordata; Mammalia; Primates; Hominidae
Description: processed transcript
Source: RNAcentral
GUGCCUUUCUCUAUCACCAAUAAUUGUCUUAUGAUUUGGUAGUUGCUCAACUAGCAUUUGUUGAAUUGAAAUGAAUGGGCUCUGAGCACUUCAAGACGAAUUGUACGUGGGCAGACCGCAGAGAGUUUGGCUGUGCAUAAUGUAACAUUCUGUGAACAAAAAAUCUCAGAAUGGGGAAAAAUAAAGGACUGCCCAAUCCCUCAGUUUGCUGGAAACCCUCCUAUGACUUGGAAAUGGAUAGUGGGUCCCAUGUUUCUGUAUCUCUGUGAGAGGUUGGUGCGGUUUUGGCGAUCUCAACAGAAGGUGGUCAUCACCAAGGUGGUCACUCACCCUUUCAAAACCAUCGAGCUACAGAUGAAGAAGAAGGGGUUCAAAAUGGAAGUGGGACAAUACAUUUUUGUCAAGUGCCCAAAGGUGUCCAAGCUGGAGUGGCACCCUUUCACACUGACAUCUGCCCCUGAGGAAGACUUCUUUAGUAUCCAUAUCCGCAUCGUUGGGGACUGGACAGAGGGGCUGUUCAA